AACAGAUUGAUCUGGUGAUAAGAGAUGAUGGGGGUAGGUUAUAUGAUCGAGGAAAGGUGAAUCUGAGCCCACUAUGCAAUAGAACUGCAGCUACCUCCCCUAAUGUGUGUAGUAUUGAAGGCAAUAAAGAACUUUUCAUGUCUUGCUACUUUAAAAUUCAAAAAAGGUUCAUUCUUCCUUUGUUGGUUACUUAACCAUGAUUUUUGUUUUGCUUUGGUUCUGGUUGAGAUACUAAAGGUUGUUUAUUUAUGAAAAGAACAAGCACUUGUAGUUUUGUAUGCCUCAGCUGUUGCUUAGGAUCCAGUGUUGUAGUGCUUUGCCUAAUUACAAAUAACUCUAAUCAAUAAUAGUGGUAUCAAUAAUAGUGGUUAUUUCCUUCUGAUUUGAACUGAGAGAGAGAGAGCCACUGAUUCUUGAUCUUAAGGUGACCCCAUUUUUCUAUGCCUCAUGCUCAUGCUGCUCUAUGUUCCCUUUUAAAAAUUCUUGCUUGCAUUUUGGGUUGGUUUCUGCUCUAUGUUCCCUUUUAGCGUUUCUUUCCAUUGUUGCUGCACUCCCUUUUGGGCGUUCAUUUCAUGCCCGGGAUCUUGCAAAUUGUGCCUGUGCCGAGCUUGCUUUAGAGUACGGGCUGCGGAGACGUCGAGGACCUCAAGGUGAGACACGUUCGAUUAAAGACGCAGGACUCCUCUCUCCGUCAAUCUCGCGCUGCUUCUGCUCACCAUCCCUAUCUCUGACCGCUGCGGGUCACCGAUGUUGUGGAGCUGGACGAGGUUUCCACGCAGUUCAUCGACCGCCUGUUCUUCCUGGAGAAGUUCGGUCCGUGCCGUGGCGGAGGGUUGUCUUGUGGUUUGACCGGAGCGGGGGCACACCAGAGAAGCGAUCUCGUCCCCAUUGUUCAGCACAUCUACCUGCGAAUCUCCAGGCUAUGGUAUCAGCGGGGUUGCUUCGAUGAGGGCCCUAUCAAGAGUAUACAUGUGUGCUCUUCUAUAGGGAAAUCAUGCCAACAAGAUGGUGCCUAAUGAGGUCAUAGACAUGUUUUAGACACUUUGCAUGAGAGAAAUUUAUACAAGUGUGCCAGGAUCCAUGUGAGGUUCCCUGUAACAAUUCUGAGGGUAGUGGAAGGCACAUAUACAUUAUGGUUCACUAGAUCAACAAUUGUCUUCACCUUGAGGGUGUUUCAUUUGGUCAUGUUUGUUAACAUGCUUAGUUGCUUCUUCUUUAUUAUGUUUCUGCUCUGAUAACUUUCUCAUAUUAUAUCACUUUUGUUAUUAACCAUCGUAUCGGAUGGCUGCGCUUUUGAUUU
Molecule: long non-coding RNA, 1300 nt
Organism: Triticum dicoccoides
Lineage: Eukaryota; Viridiplantae; Streptophyta; Magnoliopsida; Poales; Poaceae
Exons: 3
Source: RefSeq, a predicted model, not a curated record